This 349-nucleotide ribosomal RNA is filed under the name uncultured bacterium. Its description in RNAcentral is "bacterial SSU rRNA". It matches the Rfam family "Bacterial small subunit ribosomal RNA", at positions 976 to 1326 of the family's 1533-position model. The record is from RNAcentral.
UGGGCUUGAAAAGCAGUGGAUCGACUACGAAAGUAGUCUUCUCUUCGGAGCCGCUGUACAGGUGCUGCAUGGCUGUCGUCAGCUCGUGCCGUGAGGUGUUGGGUUAAGUCUCGCAACGAGCGCAACCCCUACCAUUAGUUGCCAUCAGUUUGGCUGGGCACUCUAAUGGGACUGCCUACGCAAGUAGUGAGGAAGGUGGGGAUGACGUCAAGUCAGCAUGGCCCUUACGCCCAGGGCUACACACGUGCUACAAUGGGCACUACAACGGGUUGCUAAGCCGCAAGGUGGAGCCAAUCCCUUAAAAGUGUCCUCAGUUCGGAUUGGAGUCUGCAACUCGACCCCAUGAAGC